RNAcentral lists this ribosomal RNA (895 nucleotides) under Phellinus sp. YD-2015. RNAcentral describes it as "eukaryotic LSU rRNA". The stretch from base 313 to 466 matches the Rfam family "5.8S ribosomal RNA". Lineage: Eukaryota; Fungi; Basidiomycota; Agaricomycetes; Hymenochaetales; Hymenochaetaceae. The record is from RNAcentral.
UAAAAGUCGUAACAAGGUUUCCGUAGGUGAACCUGCGGAAGGAUCAUUAACGAGUUUGAAAUCGAGAGCCUGUUGCUGGUGCGGAAACGCACAUCGUGCACGGCUCCCGUGCUCAAUCCAUUUCAACCCCCUUGUGCACCUUAUCGAAGUCAGUAGUCUUUCUCUUUUUGUUUGCCGGUUGUGUGUGGGAACCUCUUUCUGUUCACUUGGCCGGCGAGGAGAAAUAGAGGGUCGAAAGCUUUGACUUUUCUAUUAAACACUUUGUAUGUCUUGUGGAACGUAUUAGCUCCUUUGUAGGGGCGAAAUAAAUACAACUUUCAACAACGGAUCUCUUGGCUCUCGCAUCGAUGAAGAACGCAGCGAAAUGCGAUAAGUAAUGUGAAUUGCAGAAUUCAGUGAAUCAUCGAAUCUUUGAACGCACCUUGCGCCCCUUGGUAUUCCGAGGGGCAUGCCUGUUUGAGUGUCAUGUUAAUCUCAAACCCCUUGUCUUUUUUGUUGACUUGGUCGGUUUGGACUUGGAGGUGUUGCUGGCGUGUGUACGCAGUACUAUGUGUCGGCUCCUCUUAAUUGCAUUAGCUGGACUUUGGUUCGCAUUUGACGGUGUAAUAGUAAAGUGUUCGCCGGGCGUGCUUGCCUAACGGGUCUGCUUCUAAUCGUCUUCGGACAACUCUGUUCAUUUUGACCUUUGACCUCAAAUCAGGUAGGACUACCCGCUGAACUUAAGCAUAUCAAUAAGCGGAGGAAAAGAAACUAACAAGGAUUCCCCUAGUAACUGCGAGUGAAGCGGGAAGAGCUCAAAUUUAAAAUCUGGCGGCUUUCGGUCGUCCGAGUUGUAAUCUGGAGAGGCAUUUUCCGCGUUGGACCGUGCAAAUUUUNCCUUGGAGAAAAAUUUUUU